GAUGAACGCUGGCGGCGUGCCUAAUACAUGCAAGUCGAGCGAACAGACGAGGAGCUUGCUCCUCUGACGUUAGCGGCGGACGGGUGAGUAACACGUGGAUAACCUACCUAUAAGACUGGGAUAACUUCGGGAAACCGGAGCUAAUACCGGAUAAUAUAUUGAACCGCAUGGUUCAAUAGUGAAAGACGGUUUUGCUGUCACUUAUAGAUGGAUCCGCGCCGCAUUAGCUAGUUGGUAAGGUAACGGCUUACCAAGGCGACGAUGCGUAGCCGACCUGAGAGGGUGAUCGGCCACGCGGGAACUGAGACACGGUCCAGACUCGGACGGGAGGCAGCAGUAGGGAAUCUUCCGCAAUGGGCGAAAGCCUGACGGAGCAACGCCGCGUGAGUGAUGAAGGUCUUCGGAUCGUAAAACUCUGUUAUUAGGGAAGAACAAAUGUGUAAGUAACUAUGCACGUCUUGACGGUACCUAAUCAGAAAGCCACGGCUAACUACGU
This 496-nucleotide ribosomal RNA is filed under the name uncultured bacterium. RNAcentral's name for it is "partial 16S ribosomal RNA". It matches the Rfam family "Bacterial small subunit ribosomal RNA", at positions 28 to 506 of the family's 1533-position model. The record is from RNAcentral.